UAGGGAAUUUUGGACAAUGGGCGAAAGCCUGAUCCAGCAAUGCCGCGUGCAGGAAGAAGGCCUUCGGGUUGUAAACUGCUUUUGUACGGAACGAAAAGGCUCUUUCUAAUAAAGGGGGCUCAUGACGGUACCGUAAGAAUAAGCACCGGCUAACUACGUGCCAGCAGCCGCGGUAAUACGUAGGGUGCGAGCGUUAAUCGGAAUUACUGGGCGUAAAGCGUGCGCAGGCGGUUCUAUAAGACAGAUGUGAAAUCCCCGGGCUCAACCUGGGAACUGCAUUUGUGACUGUAUAGCUAGAGUACGGUAGAGGGGGAUGGAAUUCCGCGUGUAGCAGUGAAAUGCGUAGAUAUGCGGAGGAACACCGAUGGCGAAGGCAAUCCCCUGGACCUGUGCUGACGCUCAUGCACGAAAGCGUGGGGAGCAAACAGGAUUAGAUACCCAUGUAGUCCCUGAGCGGGCUGGCAAGGCGCAU
This 472-nucleotide ribosomal RNA is filed under the name uncultured bacterium. RNAcentral's name for it is "bacterial SSU rRNA". It matches the Rfam family "Bacterial small subunit ribosomal RNA", at positions 355 to 825 of the family's 1533-position model. The record is from RNAcentral.